This 465-nucleotide ribosomal RNA is filed under the name uncultured bacterium. Its description in RNAcentral is "partial 16S ribosomal RNA". It matches the Rfam family "Bacterial small subunit ribosomal RNA", at positions 28 to 506 of the family's 1533-position model. The record is from RNAcentral.
GAUGAACACUGGCGGCGUGCUUAACACAUGCAAGUCGAACGGUGAAAGAGAGCUUGCUCUCUGGAUCAGUGGCGAACGGGUGAGUAACACGUGAGCAAUCUGCCCCUGACUCUGGGAUAAGCGCUGGAAACGGCGUCUAAUACCGGAUACGAGCUGCGAAGGCAUCUUCAGCAGCUGGAAAGAACUUCGGUCAGGGAUGAGCUCGCGGCCUAUCAGCUAGUUGGUGAGGUAACGGCUCACCAAGGCGUCGACGGGUAGCCGGCCUGAGAGGGUGACCGGCCAAAUGGGGAAUGAGACACGGCCCAGACCCCUACGGGGGGCAGGAGUGGGGAAUUUUGCAAAAGGGGGGAAAGCCUGAUGGAGCAACGCCGGGGGGGGGAAGACGGCCUUCGGGUUGUAAACCUUUUUUAGCAGGGAAGAAGCGAAAGGGCCGGUACCUGCAAAAAAAACACCGGCUAACUAGGU